GAUGGCGUCUUGCAUACCGGAUGAUUCUGUCUCUGUAAAGAAUGUGCUGUUAGCGUUGGUAUGCGCGCGUGCCAAGCGGAGGUCUGAAGAGCGAAGGCUAGAAAUGGAUAUCGAAGCGGCGGCGGACUUUGCGAGACAGACCGAGGGACAGCUGCCUGCAAAUAUGUUCGCGAUGGCUUCCGUAAUGUUCCACGGUGUACCCAGAUUUCGGCGGCAGCAAUGGGAAUUCGAGCGAAACGAGCGCUGGUUUGAAGAAACACUGCCAUAUUUAGGAGACAAGCACUUCAAGCAGGCUUUUCGCGUUUCCCCGGCCACAUUCAGGUACCUCUUGGAGUCUCUUCAAAGUCUCGAGCGCCAAGACACAAACAUGCGAAAUGCUAUUUCGCUUGAAAAGCGUGUGGCAGUCGGAUUGUACCGUCUCUGUUCAAGUGCAGAGGAUAGGACUACCGCACAUCUGUUCGCAAUAGGCCGUUCAACUGUGAACGCGAUUUUUAAGGACUUCUGUGAUGCUGUCAUCCUCCACCUUGAACAGCAAUGGAUCUGUAUGGUGCGCCGUAACGAAAUGGAAUCACACAUGCGAGAGUUCCACGCCGUCACUGGCUUCCCCCAAGCUAUCGGAGCUCUUGAUAUAUGGCUGCCACUUCCCUGUCUCUCCACCAAAGCUCCAUGCCACAGACUACUAUAACUAUAAAGGAUGGUACAGUAUCAUACUUCUGGCACUCGUAGAUCAUCAGUACAAAUUCAAGUACAUCAACGUUGAAAGUCCUGGAAGAUGUCAUGACGCCCAUGUUUAUGGGAGAUCAAGACUUCGUUCAUUGGUCGAUGGUGAUCACUUCCAGUCACCUGUCGUCACCAUAGAGGGAACCUUCAUUCCACCAAUUAUAUUGUGUGACCAGGCGUUCCCCCUCACGUCAAACUUGCUGAAGCCAUUUGCCAAUGCACCAAAAGGAACUCCGCAAGCAUCUUUCAAUGAUAACCUAUCGAAAACAAUUGUAGAAAAUGCUUUUGGGAGGGUCAAGGCCCGGUUCAGGCAUGUGAUGAAGAGGAUGGAGUGCAACACAACACUAGCAAAGCGUUCCAUCAGAACUGCUUGUACGCUGCACAACAUCUGUGAGACAUUAAGUGACACAGUUGAAGUUAAUGGGAACAAGACGCACACGCACUCGAUAUGCUGUACGCUCAGCCAUCUCGUGGUACCGAUGUGUGCCACGGUGGCGGGCAAGCAGUAAGAAAUGCCCUUGCCACAUACUUUUGGAAAAGGUACCAGUCAUAGGUACCAGUUCCAUCGAACUGAUCUCUCGAUGUUUCACUGAUAGUAGGGGACAGAGAGACACGGAACAAGAAGGACGGACGACAAAUCCUCAGACUCAACAAAAGGUUUAUUAAGACAAAAGGACGGAUUACUAAUCACAUUGCCACGUGAGAAUAUCUCAACGGACUGUCACAGUAACCUCCAUUGUUUAUCCCUUUCAACCACAAGUAAACUGGUGUCAUGGAACAACUGAGCACUCGGACAGAUGAACAACCAACUCUGAGAACACUCUUGUGAUGUCAAAAAACAAAAACAAAAAAAUAUGUACUCUGAGUUGGCAGUUCAUCUCAAAGAAUGCAGUGGGUGUGCCCUGUUGUUUCAUGAGACCAGUGUACUUGUGGUUGACAUGGAUAAAAGACUGAGGUUACUGUGAGAGUCUGUUGAGAUAGCCAUACGUGGCAAUGUGAUUAGUAAUCCAUCAUUCCGUCUUCUCGCUCCUCUGAGUCACCUCUUGGGUAUAUAGUUGGGUCCCUGCAAUAAACCUUUUGUUGAGUCUGAAAAUUUGUCUUCGGUCCUUCUUGUUCAGUGUCUCUCGGUCCCUUACCUUGAGUCUAUACCAAACUGCUUGAUGUAAAUAAAACUGUUUUGGAUACUGUUCA
Long non-coding RNA from Ornithodoros turicata, 1911 nucleotides. RefSeq lists it as uncharacterized. The record is from RefSeq and is a predicted model, not a curated record. The transcript has 2 exons. Lineage: Eukaryota; Metazoa; Arthropoda; Arachnida; Ixodida; Argasidae.